This 439-nucleotide ribosomal RNA is filed under the name uncultured bacterium. Its description in RNAcentral is "partial 16S ribosomal RNA". It matches the Rfam family "Bacterial small subunit ribosomal RNA", at positions 339 to 795 of the family's 1533-position model. The record is from RNAcentral.
CUACGGGUGGCAGCAGUGAGGAAUAUUGCACAAUGUGGGAAACCCUGAUGCAGCAACGCCGCGUGGAGGAUGACGCAUUUCGGUGUGUAAACUCCUUUUAUAUGUCAAGAAAAUGACGGUAGCAUAUGAAUAAGCACCGGCUAACUCCGUGCCAGCAGCCGCGGUAAUACGGAGGGUGCAAGCGUUAUUCGGAAUCACUGGGCGUAAAGGACGCGUAGGCGGGUUCGCAAGUCAGGUGUGAAAUCCUAUGGCUCAACCAUAGAACUGCACUUGAAACUGCGAACCUAGAGUAUGGAAGGGGCAGAUGGAAUUAGUGGUGUAGGGGUAAAAUCCGUAGAUAUCACUAGGAAUACCAAAAGCGAAGGCGAUCUGCUGGGACAUUACUGACGCUAAGGCGUGAAAGCGUGGGGAGCAAACAGGAUUAGAUACCCCAGUAGUC